UCGGAUUGCAGGCUGCAACCCGCCUGUAUGAAGUUGGAAUUGCUAGUAAUCGCGGAUCAGCAUGCCGCGGUGAAUACGUUCCCGGGCUUUGUACACACCGCCCGUCAAACCAUGAAAGUCGGGGAACACCCGAAGUCUGUGAGCUGACCGCAAGGAGGCAGCAGCCGAAGGUGGGUUCGAUGAUUGGGGUUAAGUCGUAACAAGGUACC
Molecule: ribosomal RNA, 209 nt
Filed under: uncultured bacterium
Lineage: Bacteria
Description: partial 16S ribosomal RNA
Rfam family: Bacterial small subunit ribosomal RNA
Source: RNAcentral